Molecule: ribosomal RNA, 484 nt
Filed under: uncultured bacterium
Lineage: Bacteria
Description: partial 16S ribosomal RNA
Rfam family: Bacterial small subunit ribosomal RNA
Source: RNAcentral
AUUGAACGCUGGCGGCAGGCCUAACACAUGCAAGUCGAGCGGAUGAAGGGAGCUUGCUCCUGGAUUCAGCGGCGGACGGGUGAGUAAUGCCUAGGAAUCUGCCUGGUAGUGGGGGAUAACGUCCGGAAACGGGCGCUAAUACCGCAUACGUCCUGAGGGAGAAAGUGGGGGAUCUUCGGACCUCACGCUAUCAGAUGAGCCUAGGUCGGAUUAGCUAGUUGGUGGGGUAAAGGCCUACCAAGGCGACGAUCCGUAACUGGUCUGAGAGGAUGAUCAGUCACAGUGGAACUGAGACACGGUACAGACUGCAACGGGAUGCAGCGGGGGGGAAUAUUGGAAAAUGGGCGAAAGCCUGAACCAACCAUGCAGAGUGGGUGAAGAAGGUCUUCGUAUUGUAAAGCACUUUAAGUUGGGAGGAAGGGAAGUAAGUUAAUACCUUGCGGGUUGGACGUUACCAAAAGAAUAAGCACGGGCUAACUUCGGG